Molecule: non-coding RNA, 24 nt
Filed under: Cricetulus griseus (Chinese hamster)
Lineage: Eukaryota; Metazoa; Chordata; Mammalia; Rodentia; Cricetidae
Source: RNAcentral
AGGAUUUUGAGUUUGAGGAUAACU